Molecule: ribosomal RNA, 1058 nt
Filed under: Staphylococcus aureus
Lineage: Bacteria; Bacillati; Bacillota; Bacilli; Caryophanales; Staphylococcaceae
Description: partial 23S ribosomal RNA
Rfam family: Bacterial large subunit ribosomal RNA
Source: RNAcentral
AUUAGACGAAUCAUCUGGAAAGAUGAAUCAAAGAAGGUAAUAAUCCUGUAGUCGAAAAUGUUGUCUCUCUUGAGUGGAUCCUGAGUACGACGGAGCACGUGAAAUUCCGUCGGAAUCUGGGAGGACCAUCUCCUAAGGCUAAAUACUCUCUAGUGACCGAUAGUGAACCAGUACCGUGAGGGAAAGGUGAAAAGCACCCCGGAAGGGGAGUGAAAUAGAACCUGAAACCGUGUGCUUACAAGUAGUCAGAGCCCGUUAAUGGGUGAUGGCGUGCCUUUUGUAGAAUGAACCGGCGAGUUACGAUUUGAUGCAAGGUUAAGCAGUAAAUGUGGAGCCGUAGCGAAAGCGAGUCUGAAUAGGGCGUUUAGUAUUUGGUCGUAGACCCGAAACCAGGUGAUCUACCCUUGGUCAGGUUGAAGUUCAGGUAACACUGAAUGGAGGACCGAACCGACUUACGUUGAAAAGUGAGCGGAUGAACUGAGGGUAGCGGAGAAAUUCCAAUCGAACCUGGAGAUAGCUGGUUCUCUCCGAAAUAGCUUUAGGGCUAGCCUCAAGUGAUGAUUAUUGGAGGUAGAGCACUGUUUGGACGAGGGGCCCCUCUCGGGUUACCGAAUUCAGACAAACUCCGAAUGCCAAUUAAUUUAACUUGGGAGUCAGAACAUGGGUGAUAAGGUCCGUGUUCGAAAGGGAAACAGCCCAGACCACCAGCUAAGGUCCCAAAAUAUAUGUUAAGUGGAAAAGGAUGUGGCGUUGCCCAGACAACUAGGAUGUUGGCUUAGAAGCAGCCAUCAUUUAAAGAGUGCGUAAUAGCUCACUAGUCGAGUGACACUGCGCCGAAAAUGUACCGGGGCUAAACAUAUUACCGAAGCUGUGGAUUGUCCUUUGGACAAUGGUAGGAGAGCGUUCUAAGGGCGUUGAAGCAUGAUCGUAAGGACAUGUGGAGCGCUUAGAAGUGAGAAUGCCGGUGUGAGUAGCGAAAGACGGGUGAGAAUCCCGUCCACCGAUUGACUAAGGUUUCCAGAGGAAGGCUCGUCCGCUCUGGGUUAGUCGGGUCCUAA